Molecule: ribosomal RNA, 699 nt
Filed under: Pseudomonadota bacterium
Lineage: Bacteria; Pseudomonadati; Pseudomonadota
Description: bacterial SSU rRNA
Rfam family: Bacterial small subunit ribosomal RNA
Source: RNAcentral
AUUGAACGCUGGCGGAAUGCUUUACACAUGCAAGUCGAACGGCAGCACGGGGGCAACCCUGGUGGCGAGUGGCGAACGGGUGAGUAAUAUAUCGGAACGUGCCCAGUCGUGGGGGAUAACGUAGCGAAAGUUACGCUAAUACCGCAUACGAUCUACGGAUGAAAGCGGGGGAUCGCAAGACCUCGCGCGAUUGGAGCGGCCGAUAUCAGAUUAGGUAGUUGGUGAGGUAAAGGCUCACCAAGCCAACGAUCUGUAGCUGGUCUGAGAGGACGACCAGCCACACUGGGACUGAGACACGGCCCAGACUCCUACGGGAGGCAGCAGUGGGGAAUUUUGGACAAUGGACGCAAGUCUGAUCCAGCCAUUCCGCGUGCAGGACGAAGGCCUUCGGGUUGUAAACUGCUUUUGUACGGAACGAAAAAGCUCUUACUAAUACUAGGAGUCCAUGACGGUACCGUAAGAAUAAGCACCGGCUAACUACGUGCCAGCAGCCGCGGUAAUACGUAGGGUGCGAGCGUUAAUCGGAAUUACUGGGCGUAAAGCGUGCGCAGGCGGUUAUAUAAGACAGAUGUGAAAUCCCCGGGCUCAACCUGGGAACUGCAUUUGUGACUGUAUAGCUAGAGUGCGGCAGAGGGGGAUGGAAUUCCGCGUGUAGCAGUGAAAUGCGUAGAUAUGCGGAGGAACACCGAUGGCGAAGGC